Molecule: non-coding RNA, 64 nt
Filed under: uncultured Bulleidia sp.
Lineage: Bacteria; Bacillati; Bacillota; Erysipelotrichia; Erysipelotrichales; Erysipelotrichaceae
Description: Fluoride riboswitch
Rfam family: Fluoride riboswitch aptamer (crcB RNA motif)
Source: RNAcentral
GAUUACCGGGAAUGAUGUUCUCCCGAGGGAAACCUGAACCGCUUGUAAAAGCUGAUGACGUCUG